This 1068-nucleotide ribosomal RNA is filed under the name Vreelandella zhanjiangensis DSM 21076. RNAcentral's name for it is "bacterial SSU rRNA". It matches the Rfam family "Bacterial small subunit ribosomal RNA", at positions 453 to 1520 of the family's 1533-position model. The record is from RNAcentral. Lineage: Bacteria; Pseudomonadati; Pseudomonadota; Gammaproteobacteria; Oceanospirillales; Halomonadaceae.
UUAAUACCUCCCUGGAAAGACAUCACUCGCAGAAGAAGCACCGGCUAACUCCGUGCCAGCAGCCGCGGUAAUACGGAGGGUGCAAGCGUUAAUCGGAAUUACUGGGCGUAAAGCGCGCGUAGGUGGCUUGAUAAGCCGGUUGUGAAAGCCCCGGGCUCAACCUGGGAACGGCAUCCGGAACUGUCAAGCUAGAGUGCAGGAGAGGAAGGUAGAAUUCCCGGUGUAGCGGUGAAAUGCGUAGAGAUCGGGAGGAAUACCAGUGGCGAAGGCGGCCUUCUGGACUGACACUGACACUGAGGUGCGAAAGCGUGGGUAGCAAACAGGAUUAGAUACCCUGGUAGUCCACGCCGUAAACGAUGUCGACCAGCCGUUGGGUGCCUAGCGCACUUUGUGGCGAAGUUAACGCGAUAAGUCGACCGCCUGGGGAGUACGGCCGCAAGGUUAAAACUCAAAUGAAUUGACGGGGGCCCGCACAAGCGGUGGAGCAUGUGGUUUAAUUCGAUGCAACGCGAAGAACCUUACCUACCCUUGACAUCUACAGAACCCGGAAGAGAUUCCGGGGUGCCUUCGGGAACUGUAAGACAGGUGCUGCAUGGCUGUCGUCAGCUCGUGUUGUGAAAUGUUGGGUUAAGUCCCGUAACGAGCGCAACCCUUGUCCUUAUUUGCCAGCACGUAAUGGUGGGAACUCUAAGGAGACUGCCGGUGACAAACCGGAGGAAGGUGGGGACGACGUCAAGUCAUCAUGGCCCUUACGGGUAGGGCUACACACGUGCUACAAUGGCCGGUACAAAGGGUUGCGAACUUGCGAAAGUAAGCCAAUCCCAGAAAGCCGGUCUCAGUCCGGAUCGGAGUCUGCAACUCGACUCCGUGAAGUCGGAAUCGCUAGUAAUCGUGAAUCAGAAUGUCACGGUGAAUACGUUCCCGGGCCUUGUACACACCGCCCGUCACACCAUGGGAGUGGACUGCACCAGAAGUGGUUAGCUUAACCUUCGGGAAAGCGAUCACCACGGUGUGGUUCAUGACUGGGGUGAAGUCGUAACAAGGUAGCCGUAGGGGAACCUGCGGCUG